This is a long non-coding RNA of Acanthopagrus latus (yellowfin seabream), 452 nucleotides long. RefSeq lists it as uncharacterized. The transcript has 2 exons. The record is from RefSeq and is a predicted model, not a curated record. NCBI's taxonomy places the organism in Eukaryota, Metazoa, Chordata, Actinopteri, Spariformes, Sparidae.
UUUACUGCUAUCUAAUGAAUUCACAUGAAAUCAUCAUGAUAUAAAUACUUACUGCAUGUUAACUGAUUCACAAGGACAUUUUAUAUGAAACAGAGGAUCAAUAUUCAGCUGACAGUCUUCAGUGCAGAGACAGAUAUUUAAUAAUUACUCUGAAGACUGAUGAACAGUGAUGACAUGGAGGAUUUAACAUAUUUCUGAGCUCGCUGCAUGUCAGCGAUGAUAAACGUCCGUGACGACGGCGUGAUCACCUCGUCAGUGUGAGCAGCUCGCAGAUAUCAGCGUCUCCUCGCCGACGCUGCGAUCGUCCCCUGACAUCACGUGGAGUUACCGUGACCUUCUGCUCAGAGAUUUAUUGAACUCCUGUACAUUUUCUUUCACUGUGGAAUAUCUAAUCUAACGAUAUCAGUCGUGACAUUUCAAUAUUGAUUCAAAAUAAAGCGAUGUUUGCCGAG